AAAGGAAGAAGAUCUAAGAAUGCUUCUUUAAGAAGCUUUCUUGAUGGAGGGGAGUGGCAGACGGGUGAGUAACGCGUGGGAACAUACCCUUUUCUACGGAAUAGCUCUGGGAAACUGGAAUUAAUACCGUAUACGCCCUACGGGGGAAAGAUUGAUCGGGGAAGGAUUGGCCCGCGUUGGAUUAGCUAGUUGGUGGGGGAAACGCCUACCAAGGCGACGAUCCAUAGCUGGUCUGAGAGGAUGAUCAGCCACAUUGGGACUGAGACACGGCCCAAACUCCUACGGGAGGCAGCAGUGGGGAAUAUUGGACAAUGGGCGCAAGCCUGAUCCAGCCAUGCCGCGUGAGUGAUGAAGGCCUUAGGGUUGUAAAGCUCUUUCACCGAUGAAGAUAAUGACGGUAGUCGGAGAAGAAGCCCCGGCUAACUUCGUGCCAGCAGCCGCCGUAA
Molecule: ribosomal RNA, 446 nt
Filed under: uncultured bacterium
Lineage: Bacteria
Description: partial 16S ribosomal RNA
Rfam family: Bacterial small subunit ribosomal RNA
Source: RNAcentral